RNAcentral lists this transfer RNA (73 nucleotides) under Camelus bactrianus (Bactrian camel). It matches the Rfam family "tRNA". From Rfam's summary of the family: Transfer RNA (tRNA) molecules are approximately 80 nucleotides in length. Their secondary structure includes four short double-helical elements and three loops (D, anti-codon, and T loops). The record is from Rfam by way of RNAcentral. Lineage: Eukaryota; Metazoa; Chordata; Mammalia; Artiodactyla; Camelidae. RNAcentral also lists the same sequence under 2 other names.
GAGGGUAUAGGUCAAGAGGUACAGUGCAUGCUUAGCACGCAGGAGGUCCUAGGUUCAAUCCCUAGUACCUCCU